RNAcentral lists this ribosomal RNA (772 nucleotides) under Pseudoalteromonas sp. CG5. Its description in RNAcentral is "bacterial SSU rRNA". It matches the Rfam family "Bacterial small subunit ribosomal RNA", at positions 61 to 828 of the family's 1533-position model. Lineage: Bacteria; Pseudomonadati; Pseudomonadota; Gammaproteobacteria; Alteromonadales; Pseudoalteromonadaceae. The record is from RNAcentral.
GUCGAGCGGUAACAGAAAGUAGCUUGCUACUUUGCUGACGAGCGGCGGACGGGUGAGUAAUGCUUGGGAACAUGCCUUGAGGUGGGGGACAACAGUUGGAAACGACUGCUAAUACCGCAUAAUGUCUACGGACCAAAGGGGGCUUCGGCUCUCGCCUUUAGAUUGGCCCAAGUGGGAUUAGCUAGUUGGUGAGGUAAUGGCUCACCAAGGCGACGAUCCCUAGCUGGUUUGAGAGGAUGAUCAGCCACACUGGGACUGAGACACGGCCCAGACUCCUACGGGAGGCAGCAGUGGGGAAUAUUGCACAAUGGGCGCAAGCCUGAUGCAGCCAUGCCGCGUGUGUGAAGAAGGCCUUCGGGUUGUAAAGCACUUUCAGUCAGGAGGAAAGGUUAGUAGUUAAUACCUGCUAGCUGUGACGUUACUGACAGAAGAAGCACCGGCUAACUCCGUGCCAGCAGCCGCGGUAAUACGGAGGGUGCGAGCGUUAAUCGGAAUUACUGGGCGUAAAGCGUACGCAGGCGGUUUGUUAAGCGAGAUGUGAAAGCCCCGGGCUCAACCUGGGAACUGCAUUUCGAACUGGCAAACUAGAGUGUGAUAGAGGGUGGUAGAAUUUCAGGUGUAGCGGUGAAAUGCGUAGAGAUCUGAAGGAAUACCGAUGGCGAAGGCAGCCACCUGGGUCAACACUGACGCUCAUGUACGAAAGCGUGGGGAGCAAACGGGAUUAGAUACCCCGGUAGUCCACGCCGUAAACGAUGUCUACUAGAAGCUCGGA